CUUAUACUUCCUCCGUCCGAAAUUACUUGUCACAAAAAUGGAUACAAAUGGAUGUAUCUAGAACUAAAAUACAUCUAAAUACAUCCAUUCCUACAACAAGUAUUUCCGGAUGGAGGGAGUAUUAG
Hordeum vulgare subsp. vulgare (domesticated barley) is the source of this 125-nucleotide non-coding RNA. The record is from Rfam. Lineage: Eukaryota; Viridiplantae; Streptophyta; Magnoliopsida; Poales; Poaceae.